Molecule: ribosomal RNA, 497 nt
Filed under: uncultured bacterium
Lineage: Bacteria
Description: partial 16S ribosomal RNA
Rfam family: Bacterial small subunit ribosomal RNA
Source: RNAcentral
GAUGAACGCUGGCGGCGUGCCUAAUACAUGCAAGUCGAGCGAACGGACGAGAAGCUUGCGUCUCUGAUGUUAGCGGCGGACGGGUGAGUAACACGUGGAUAACCUACCUAUAAGACUGGGAUAACUUCGGGAAACCGGAGCUAAUACCGGAUGAUAUUUUGAACCGCAUGGUUCAAAAGUGAAAGACGGUCUUGCUGUCACUUAUAGAUGGAUCCGCGCUGCAUUAGCUAGUUGGUAAGGUAACGGCUUACCAAGGCAACGAUGCAUAACCGACCUGAGAGGCUGAUAGGCCACACUAGAACGGAGACACGGUCCAGACUCCUGCGAGAGGCAGCAGUAGGGAAUCUUCCGCAAUAGGCGAGAGCCUGACGGAGCAACGGCGCGUGAGUGAUGAAGGUCUUCGGAUCGUAAAACUCUGUUAUGAGGGAUGAACAUAUGUGUAAGUAACUGUGCACAUCUUGACGGUAACUAAUCAGAAAGCCACGGCUAACUACGUG